Molecule: non-coding RNA, 29 nt
Filed under: Rattus norvegicus (Norway rat)
Lineage: Eukaryota; Metazoa; Chordata; Mammalia; Rodentia; Muridae
Source: RNAcentral
UAGUCAGUGGCAAAUCCAAGACUUUGGUC